AAAGCGGCGAAAGGGAGAGUAACGCGUAGAUACCUACCCCUGGGUUCGGGAUAGCUGCGGGAAACUGCAGGUAAUACCGGAUAAUGUCCCCGGACCAAAGAUUUAUCGCCUGGGGAUGGGUCUGCGUCCUACUAGCUUGUUGGUGGGGUAAUAGCCUACCAAGGCUUAGAUGGGUAGCGGGUGUGAGAGCAUGGCCCGCCUCACUGGGACUGAGACACUGCCCAGACACCUGCGGGUGGCUGCAGUCGAGAAUCUUCCGCAAUGGGCGAAAGCCUGACGGAGCGACGCCGCGUGCGGGAUGAAGGCCUUCGGGUUGUAAACCGCUGUCAGUGGGGAGGAAAUCACUUCGGUGUUGACCGAUCCGCAGAGGAAGCGCAGGCUAAGUUCGUGCCAGCAGCCGCGGUAACACGAACUGCGCGAACGUUAUUCGGAAUCACUGGGCUUAAAGAGUUCGUAGGCGGCCAAGUCAGUCGGGUGUGAAAUCCCUCGGCUCAACCGAGGAACUGCGCCCGAUACUGCUUGGC
Molecule: ribosomal RNA, 524 nt
Filed under: uncultured bacterium
Lineage: Bacteria
Description: bacterial SSU rRNA
Rfam family: Bacterial small subunit ribosomal RNA
Source: RNAcentral